GACAAACGCUGGCGGUAUGCCUAACACAUGCAAGUCGAACGGACAGAACAGGGAAGCUUUUCGGAGUGGAACUGGAAAGUUAGUGGCGGAUGGGUGAGUAACGCGUGGACAACCUACCUUGUAAAGGGGAAUAACCUCGAGAAAUCGAAGCUAAUACCCCAUAAUAACCUUGCUUCGCAUGAAGUAAGGAGGAAAGGCGGCCUUAGCGCUGUCGAUACAAGAUGGGUCCGCGUCUGAUUAGCUAGUUGGUGAGGUAAAGGCUCACCAAGGCGACGAUCAGUAGCCGGCCUGAGGGGGUGAACGGCCACAUUGGGACUGAGACACGGCCCAAACUCCUACGGGAGGCAGCAGUGGGGAAUCUUCCGCAAUGGGCGAAAGCCUGACGGAGCAAUGCCGCGUGAGUGAAGAAGGCCUUCGGGUUGUAAAACUCUGUCCUUAUCGAAGAGAGAGUGUUGUAGUAACUGACAAUACUAGGACGGUAGAUGAGGAGGAAGCCCCGGCUAACUAUGUG
Molecule: ribosomal RNA, 511 nt
Filed under: uncultured bacterium
Lineage: Bacteria
Description: partial 16S ribosomal RNA
Rfam family: Bacterial small subunit ribosomal RNA
Source: RNAcentral